RNAcentral lists this ribosomal RNA (254 nucleotides) under uncultured bacterium. RNAcentral describes it as "partial 16S ribosomal RNA". It matches the Rfam family "Bacterial small subunit ribosomal RNA", at positions 524 to 776 of the family's 1533-position model. The record is from RNAcentral.
UACGUAGGGUGCAAGCGUUGUCCGGAAUUAUUGGGCGUAAAGAGCUCGUAGGCGGCUUGUCACGUCUGCUGUGAAAACUCGGGGCUCAACCCCGAGCCUGCAGUGGAUACGGGCUAGCUAGAGUGCGGUAGGGGAGACUGGAAUUCCUGGUGUAGCGGUGAAAUGCGCAGAUAUCAGGAGGAACACCGGUGGCGAAGGCGGGUCUCUGGACCGAUGACUGACGCUGAGGAGCGAAAGCGUGGGGAGCGAACAGG